RNAcentral lists this long non-coding RNA (4224 nucleotides) under Olea europaea subsp. europaea. The record is from RNAcentral. Lineage: Eukaryota; Viridiplantae; Streptophyta; Magnoliopsida; Lamiales; Oleaceae.
UCCUUUCUCACAACUUGUCUCUCUUUAUUCUUGUUUACAAUGACACUGCAUUAUUGACUAUCAGUGCGAUUUUUUUGUAAAAGUUAUAUAUAUUAUAUGCAAACUUACUACUAUGUUCACCAGAGAUCUUUUGAGAAAUCUAAAGGGCCAUAAGGAUGAGGAUAUUCAAAAAGGUCAAGCAGUAAAAAAUCAAAGGUUAUGAAGCUUUUUAAUCAGCAUUUUAUCAUUCAAAUAAUGCAUCUUUACCUUAGUUCAAAUUUGAUAUUUCAUUUUUCUAGUGACCUCUUUCUAAGAAAUGUAGCAAAAAGGUUUUUUGGUUGCCGAAGACUUUUGCUUUGUGAUCUAAUAGUAAGGGAGCAUAUUGGCUCUGUUUCCAUGGUUGUUCCCCUUUCUAUCACCCUCUUCUCCUAGACCAUUUCUGACUAUAGUGAGAUGGCUUGCUGAUAUCUUUUCCUAAUCGUGUGAAAGGCUCUUUGGGACAAAACACUCGAUCUCAAAUUCUUGCUGCAAAAAGCAUUCUCUAGUUAUAACAGGCUUCCACUGGUUCAUUUUGGAUUCUGAUAUAAAUAAGCAUUAUUCAAAUUUUAUAUACUUCAUUAAGAUGUUGUAUUCGGAAGAAGAUAUGUUAUUUGCAGGAACCAGUUAGGUCCUCAUUCUUUGAUUCUGAUAAUGGAGUUAGUGAAGCGUACUCUGAUCUAAUCACUUCCUCAAAAUGGACCUUGGAUUCCAUACUGGAGUUAAACAGGUGUGGCGCUAAUGAAAAUAUUCCUUUCUCACUUUAGUUUAUAUUUUAGCCCUUGUUUGGACCCAUUUCUAAAAACUUAUUUUCAACCACACAUUUCACCAACUUUUUGCGAAAAUCUACUAAAAAUCUAAUUUUUAUCCAAACCUAACAUGGACUAGUAAGCUUACAUAUUUUGCCUCCUAGCUAUGCUUUCUCAUCUUAUAAACAAUUGCCCUUUAAUUUUACUUCUUGCCCAUUUAUGUUUUGACCGACGCUGGUUGAGAAUAAUCCUUCAAUUGCUCAAUCCAUAGAUGGUAUGAUAUGUUGCUACAAAUUAGUCUUUUUUAGUCUUUUCUUCUCAGUACUAAUAUAUGAGUACUAAAAUUACUACCUCAUUUAAGCUUGUUACAUCUGCUGUGCUGUUGAGAAUGUCAUUUUUUUAAGAACUUGGUAAAAGUGUAUUUAAAAUUUGGUUUUGCUUGAUAGAUUAUCUCAGUUGACUUGCACAGCAUAUUUACAAAGCUAGUUGGGACUGCAGUAUGUCAAAAAAAUGACUAUUACAACCAUUUGAUUUCCAUAAUAAUUUAGUAAUAUUGCAAUGUGUAACAUCUCUUGCGUGCUGUCCACAAAUAAUGGCCUCCGCAAAAAAUAAACAUUUAAUUCCGAAGUGUUCUUCCUUAAGUACAUUCUUAUGCAUUAAAAAAAUCGUUUAGUGCUUAUGAUGAUGUUCAACGAUGUAGGCUGGUAUUGCAAUCACUGUUGCAGGUCAUAGUACAACCAGUAACCAAGUGAGACUAAGAAGCAAUAAGCGACUGAUGAGAUGAGGGUUUCUCUCUUUCUUGGAAUCUUUCUAUCUAUAUCAAUAGACAGUAAAUAGAUAGCUAAGAAGAAAAGAGUACAAAUGUUACAAUGGUUGAAUGGCGUGCAAAUUGAUGAUUCUAAUUUUUCUGACUUUUGGUCUUUAUCAUCUUUUGUGACCCUUAGUAAGUGAGGUCCAAUGUUGACCUAACUAGUUUUUUGUGCCAAUCGAUGAUAGAGCACAAAAUUAGCAGAGUAUUUUAUUUUUUCUCUAAUUGUAAUCCUAGAAUAGUUAUCUUCUUAUUUAGCUCAUUUUAUUUCCUACUGUAUAGAGAAGAUUAGUGGACUGACUUUACUAGAUUGGUGGGACUGAUUCCUCUUGCCAAUAUAUAUACUUCUAAUCAUCCCUGUCAAUACAUAUUGAAAUAUUCAACCUCUUUAUGGUAUCAGAGCACUCUCUAUCUUGAAUAGAGUUUGAUCCUCUUGCCUACCUUAGCUGUGUUCUCUCUUUUUAUCGCAGUAAUGGAAAACUCCCAGACUCCUAUCACAAAAGCAACAGCUUCAACAACAGUCUCUCAACCGACAAUUGUCUCAACACCUAUAAAAGCCAUUGUUGAAAGUAAUAUGUUUCCUGCCAAUGGAAAUCUAAUAUCCCUUAAUAGCUUUUCUCAGAUUCCUUUCAAGCUUGCGAAAAAAUUGUGGAAAAUAUUCGUCUUGGAAGUCCCAAAUGAGUAAUCUUCUCUUUGGCUAUGGCCUCCUUGGGUUUGCUGAUGGAACUUAUCCUUGCCCAUAGAAAACUGAUUCUAGAUAUCCCUUCUGGACUCGUCAGGAUCGUCUUGUGCUACUUGGAAUUCAGGCCACCGUUCACAGCACAAUCAGCCCGAUGAUAAAUAAUUGUACCACCUCCGCAGAGGCUUGGAAUAAACUGGAAUCGAGUUUUGCUAAUCAUUCCAACACCUGAAUGCUCUCUAUUAUGUCAUCUCUUAUGUUAAACAAAAAGGAAGGCAAGAGAAUAGCUACAUAUAUAAGUAGGGUGAAAAGCCUUACUAAUGAUCUUGCAGCCAUUGGACACCCUUUAAAUGAUGCUCAAAUCAUGUCCUAUACUUUAAAUGGAUUGGGUGACGAAUUUAAAGAAUUGACAGCAGCGAUCCGUAUUCGUGACACACCCAUAAUCUUUGAAGAUCUCUAUGAUAAAUUCCUUGGUGAGGAAUUAAUUCGCAACCAUGGAGAGGCAAAGGAAGAUGAAGUUCAAGUCACUGCACAGCUGACAAAAAAAUGUCGUGGUGGUUGAGGAGGAAAUCGUAUUGGUCAAGGAAGCUAUUGUGGUGGCUACAACAACAAUAUUCAUGGUUCAGACAGCAAUUUAUAUGGGCAGAAUUCUCAACCUAAUCAUAUGAAAACUAAUUGGCAAAGAACUUCUUAUGGACGAGGUUUGGAUUUAUCUCAUCUCUAGUCAUACUCACCUUCAAGAAAUCCAAAUCUUCAUCAGAGGAACCAAGGCCAACCUCGUAUUAUCUGUCAACUAUGUGAUAAACGGAGGCAGUGCAUGGACCAAUCGCUCUCGUGGACAGCCUUAUUCUCAUUCUCCUCGGCCUGAAGCAAAUCUUGUCGAAGGAGAAUCAAGUUAUUCUAGUAACAAUUGGGUUCUAGAUUCCGAAGCCACGCAUCACAUUACUUUUGAUCUCCAAAAUCUCUCUAUGCACUCUGGUUAUGUUGGAAAUGAGGAUUUUGUAGUGGGUAAUGGUAAUGGCAUCUCUAUCUCUCAUGUUGGUUCUUCUUUCAUUGAUUCACCUAUGCCUCUUUUACAUUAGAUAAUGUUUUGUAUGCAUCCUCAAUAAAAAGGAACUUAAUAUCUAUAUCCCAAUUCUGCAAACAAAAUAAUACUUCAAUUGAGUUUUUUUCUAACUAUUUUCUUGUGAAGGAUUUGAAUACAGGGACGUCCUUGGUAAAAGGCCAGAGUGGACACAACUUGUAUGAGCAGGCAUCCUCAACCUCAACUACAAAGCCAUCAUUCCUCACUCCUUCUGUCUCAAUUGCUCUCUCCUCUCAACUAUGGUACCAAUGUCUUGAUCAUCCUUCUCCUCCAAUUCAAAAGAAGAUUCUAGCUAGUAAUAAAAUUCCUUCAACGGAUUCCCCUAAAAAUAAAGUUCGCGAUUCUUGUCUUUGUAACAAAAGUCAUAAAUUGUUAUUUUGAAAUUCUUCCAUUAUCUGUAAUAAACCAUUUCAAGUUAUUUAUUCAGAUGUUUGGGGUCUAGCUCCUGUGACUUCAUUUGGAAAUUUUCGAUACUAUGUCAUUUUUAUUGAUUACUUCACAAAGUACACCUAGUUAUAUCCUCUAAAGUUAAAAUUUGAUGUGUUUAAGGUUUUUGAAAACUACUUUCACACAAAAAUAAAAACUAUAUACACAAAUGGUGGUGGAGAGUAUCAAGUACUUUCUCAUUUUUUAACCUAACACGGAAUUCAACAUCUUACUUCUCAUCCCUAUACACCAGAAUAUGUUGGCUCCACUGAAUGUAAACAUCGUCACAUUAUGGAAACUGGCCUCACGCUUUUCCACAAUGCUGCUAUCCCUCUUCGCUUUUGGUCACAUGCCUUCCAAAGUGCAGUUUACCUCAUUAAUAGAAUGCCUACACCAGUUCUAAACCACGAUACACCUUAUCAUAAAUUAUUUGGCCAUAAACCCAAAUACACUUCUCUUAGAG